AACGAACGCUGGCGGCGCGCCUAAUACAUGCAAGUCGAGCGAGAAGACGUAGCAAUACGUUUGUAAAGCGGCGAACGGGUGAGGAAUACAUGGGUAACCUACCCUAGAGUGGGGAAUAACUAGCCGAAAGGUUAGCUAAUACCGCGUACGCUCCUUGGACUUCGGUUCAGGGAGGAAAGCGAUGCCGAGGGUAUCGCGCUCUUGGAUGGGCUCAUGUCCUAUCAGCUUGUUGGUGAGGUAACGGCUCACCAAGGCUUCGACGGGUAGCUGGUCUGAGAGGACGAUCAGCCACACUGGCACUGCGACACGGGCCAGACUCCUACGGGAGGCAGCAGUAAGGAAUAUUGCGCAAUGGGCGAAAGCCUGACGCAGCGACGCCGCG
Molecule: ribosomal RNA, 382 nt
Filed under: uncultured bacterium
Lineage: Bacteria
Description: bacterial SSU rRNA
Rfam family: Bacterial small subunit ribosomal RNA
Source: RNAcentral